RNAcentral lists this ribosomal RNA (452 nucleotides) under uncultured Thiobacillus sp. RNAcentral describes it as "bacterial SSU rRNA". It matches the Rfam family "Bacterial small subunit ribosomal RNA", at positions 923 to 1382 of the family's 1533-position model. Lineage: Bacteria; Pseudomonadati; Pseudomonadota; Betaproteobacteria; Nitrosomonadales; Thiobacillaceae. The record is from RNAcentral.
GCACAAGCGGUGGAUGAUGUGGAUUAAUUCGAUGCAACGCGAAAACCUUACCUACCCUUGACAUGUCCGGAAUCCUGCAGAGAUGCGGGAGUGCCCGAAAGGGAGUCGGAACACAGGUGCUGCAUGGCUGUCGUCAGCUCGUGUCGUGAGAUGUUGGGUUAAGUCCCGCAACGAGCGCAACCCUUAUCAUUGGUUGCUACGCAAGGGCACUCUAAUGAGACUGCCGGUGACAACCGGAGGAAGUGGGGAUGACGUCAAGUCCUCAUGGCCCUUAUGGGUAGGGCUUCACACGUCAUACAAUGGUCGGUACAGAGGGUUGCCAAGCCGCGAGGUGGAGCCAAUCCCAGAAAGCCGAUCGUAGUCCGGAUUGUUCUCUGCAACUCGAGAGCAUGAAGUCGGAAUCGCUAGUAAUCGCGGAUCAGCAUGUCGCGGUGAAUACGUUCCCGGGUCUU